UGAUACUAAGCCAUGCGAGUCAUUGCAGUAAUGCAAGGCAGACGGCUCAGUAACGCGUAGUCAACCUACCCUAUGGACGGGAAUAACCUCGGGAAACUGAGUAUAAUGCCCGAUAGAACACUAUUCCUGGAAUGGUUUGUGUUCCAAAUGAUUUAUCGCCGUAGGAUGGGACUGCGGCCUAUCAGUUUGUUGGUGAGGUAAUGGCCCACCAAGACUAUUACAGGUACGGGCUCUGAGAGGAGUAGCCCGGAGAUGGGCACUGAGACACGGACCCAGGCCCUAUGGGGCGCAGCAGGCGAGAAAACUUUGCAAUGUGCGAAAGCACGACAAGGUUAAUCCGAGUGGUUUGUGCUAAACGAACCUUUUGACAGUCCUAGAAACACUGUUGAAUAAGGGGUGGGCAAGUUCUGGUGUCAGCCGCCGCGGUAAAACCAGCACCUCAAGUGGUCAGGAUGAUUAUUGGGCCUAAAGCAUCCGUAGCCGGCUCUGUAAGUUUUCGGUUAAAUCUGUACGCUCAACGUACAGGCUGCCGGGAAUACUGCAGAGCUAGGGAGUGGGAGAGGUAGACGGUACUCGGUAGGAAGGGGUAAAAUCCUUUGAUCUAUUGAUGACCACCUGUGGCGAAGGCGGUCUACCAGAACACGUCCGACGGUGAGGGAUGAAAGCUGGGGGAGCAAACCGGAUUAGAUACCCGGGUAGUCCCAGCUGUAAACUAUGCAAACUCAGUGAUGCAUUGGCUUGUGGCCAAUGCAGUGCUGCAGGGAAGCCGUUAAGUUUGCCGCCUGGGAAGUACGUACGCAAGUAUGAAACUUAAAGGAAUUGGCGGGGGAGCACCACAAGGGGUGAAGCCUGCGGUUCAAUUGG
This 864-nucleotide ribosomal RNA is filed under the name uncultured archaeon. RNAcentral describes it as "bacterial SSU rRNA". It matches the Rfam family "Archaeal small subunit ribosomal RNA", at positions 39 to 909 of the family's 1478-position model. The record is from RNAcentral.